UCAAGUGAAGAACUCUUCUGACAAAGAUGCUUCGUCUGCUUCAUUGGGGUGUAAGACAACUGACGAACCGCUUGCUAAUAGAGCCGCUUCUACCAGUGACCUUUCUGCUGGACAAAGAUGUGGUUCUACAAGAAAUGGAAGUUUGAUGAUCUGUUCGGUGCUUCAUCUGAACCGGAACUCACCGCCAUUAAGAACCUUAUCACUGAUUGUAUCUCUUUUUCUGCAUGCCCGGUGUCUCUUCUCACUGCUCUCAAACUUUGGAUCGCUGAGGUGUCUUCUUCCAUGGAGUCCCUUCCUUUUGCCCUCGCUGAUACAUCGGUCAAUUGAGCUAAUGAAGGUCUUGAUUCCAUAGGUGAUAUGGGGAUACUCCCAUGCCAGACCGGAGAGUUUGUUUCCUACUGCCCUCUUGGAGGGCGAUGCGCUGUCCAUUUACCGUGCUCCUGAUGUAGCGAAGAUUAAGGUUGUUGUCUUUUCGAUCGGAGCUUACAAGGCUCCUGGCAUUGAUGGUUUUCAGGCCUGUUUUUAUCAGAGAUUUUGGGAUAUCAUUGCCCAGGAUGUGUGCAAAUUUGUUAGGGAUUUCUUUCUUCAGGGUACCCUGCCAUUUGGGGCCAAUCACACCCUUCUUUGUCUAAUUCCUAAAAAAGAACUUGCUUCAAUCAUUAAGGACUUUCACCCGAGUAGCCUCUGUAAUGUUAACUAUAUGAUCAUUGGAAAAUUAUUGGCAAACCAAUUAAAA
Macadamia integrifolia is the source of this 736-nucleotide long non-coding RNA. RefSeq lists it as uncharacterized. The record is from RefSeq and is a predicted model, not a curated record. The transcript has 2 exons. NCBI's taxonomy places the organism in Eukaryota, Viridiplantae, Streptophyta, Magnoliopsida, Proteales, Proteaceae.